RNAcentral lists this ribosomal RNA (427 nucleotides) under uncultured bacterium. RNAcentral describes it as "partial 16S ribosomal RNA". It matches the Rfam family "Bacterial small subunit ribosomal RNA", at positions 355 to 774 of the family's 1533-position model. The record is from RNAcentral.
UGGGGAAUAUUGCACAAUGGGCGCAAGCCUGAUGCAGCCAUGCCGCGUGUAUGAAGAAGGCCUUCGGGUUGUAAAGUACUUUCAGCGGGGAGGAAGGCGAUAAGGUUAAUAACCUUGUCGAUUGACGUUACCCGCAGAAGAAGCACCGGCUAACUCCGUGCCAGCAGCCGCGGUAAUACGGAGGGUGCAAGCGUUAAUCGGAAUUACUGGGCGUAAAGCGCACGCAGGCGGUCUGUCAAGUCGGAUGUGAAAUCCCCGGGCUCAACCUGGGAACUGCAUUCGAAACUGGCAGGCUAGAGUCUUGUGGAGGGGGGUAGAAUUCCAGGUGUAGCGGUGAAAUGCGUAGAGAUCUGGAGGAAUACCGGUGGCGAAGGCGGCCCCCUGGACAAAGACUGACGCUCAGGUGCGAAAGCGUGGGGAGCAAACA